Molecule: ribosomal RNA, 253 nt
Filed under: uncultured bacterium
Lineage: Bacteria
Description: partial 16S ribosomal RNA
Rfam family: Bacterial small subunit ribosomal RNA
Source: RNAcentral
UACGGGGGGGGUAAGCGUUGUUCGGAAUUACUGGGCGUAAAGGGCUCGUAGGCGGCCAACUAAGUCAUACGUGAAAUCCCUCAGCUUAACUGGGGAACUGCGUGUGAUACUGGAAGGCUUGAGUAUGGGAGAGGGAUGUAGAAUUCCAGGUGUAGCGGUGAAAUGCGUAGAUAUCUGGAGGAAUACCGGUGGCGAAGGCGGCAUCCUGGACCAUUACUGACGCUGAGGCGCGAAAGCUAGGGGAGCAAACGGG